CUAAUGCCACCUAUGUCCGUUCGGGAUGAAAGUCGAAAGACGCCAGGGGAUCGGCCUGCGGCCCAUUAUCUAAUCCUAGUUGGUAAGGUAACGGCUUACCAAGGGUACGAUGGGUAGCUGGUCUGAGAGGAUGAUCAGCCACACUGGGACUGAGACACGGCCCAGACUCCUACGGGAGGCAGCAGUGGGGAAUAUUGCGCAAUGGGCGAAAGCCUGACGCAGCCAUGCCGCGUGAGUGAUGAAGGCCCUCGGGUCGUAAAGCUCUGUCGGGAGGGACGAAGGGUGGCAACACUCUGACGGUACCUCGCAAGAAAGCACCGGCUAACUCCGUG
RNAcentral lists this ribosomal RNA (332 nucleotides) under uncultured bacterium. RNAcentral describes it as "bacterial SSU rRNA". It matches the Rfam family "Bacterial small subunit ribosomal RNA", at positions 163 to 507 of the family's 1533-position model. The record is from RNAcentral.